Molecule: ribosomal RNA, 253 nt
Filed under: uncultured bacterium
Lineage: Bacteria
Description: partial 16S ribosomal RNA
Rfam family: Bacterial small subunit ribosomal RNA
Source: RNAcentral
UACAGAGGUGGCAAGCGUUGUUCGGAAUUACUGGGCGUAAAGGGCUCGUAGGCGGCCAACUAAGUCGGAUGUGAAAUCCCCAGGCUUAACCGGGGAACUGCGUCUGAUACUGGAUGGCUUGAGUUUGGGAGAGGGACGCGGAAUUCCAGGUGUAGCGGUGAAAUGCGUAGAUAUCUGGAGGAACACCGGUGGCGAAGGCGGCGUCCUGGACCAACACUGACACUGAGGAGCGAAAGCCAGGGGAGCAAACGGG